AAUGUAAACUAGAUUUGAAGUGUUUUAGUAAAAUUGGAACCCUAGAGUCAAAAGUAUUACAGUGUCUGUGGUACAACUACUCUGAUUUGUUUUUAUGAUUGAAGUCACUAGUCUCUGUGGUUGAAAAUCAAGGUAUAAAUAGACAGAAAGCAGAGGUUGCUCUCAUGGACAGCUUAUUCCCCCCUGCCUCAGCUAUCCUUCCUUGUCCUGGCCUUAGGGAUUCAGCCCAAUUACUUUUCCUCUGUUCUUUCCACUGCUUAGGAUUAAGGUAAACAAAAAGGCCUUCUUAGAUUUAAGGAUUUAAUGGCUCACCUCCACAGGGAGGCAGAAAACUAGCAAAUGUUGUUUUAUAUAUAUAUAUGUGUGUGUGUGUGUGUGUGUGUGUGUGUGUGUGUAUACAUAUAUGUUAACACACACACCAACAGUUAAGUGCUUCUUACAAUGAGUUCUUACUGGUGUGCAGAAUACUUUUAUAAUAUCCAUCCCCAUUUUCACUCCUGCUUCAAAAGUCCUUUAGAUUUCACCUGAUGAGUCAUUCUCAGAGAAACUCUCCCUGAUCUUCAGACCAGUCAGAUCUCAGGCGAGAGGAACCCUUAGCAUUCUUUACCUCAGUUGUAGCACUAAUUAGAAAGUACUGUGUAAUUAGAUUUUUCAUGUCUGCCUCUCCGACUAAAAUGUACACUUGAUGACAAGAAAGGCUCUGUCAGUCUUAUUAGACCUAGAUGUAUACUUGCACCAUAGAACCCAAUCCCAUUUACAAAAUACAUGCUUAGGUAGUAUUUCUAAAAUAAGACAGGGAGAGAACAUAAUUUGACAAAAUUUCAAAUAGAUAUUAGUGUGAUACAAUAAUAAGCAACAGAAAGGAGAGGAUGUGACUGGGGUAAUGAAGGGCACUAACUAGGAAAUGUUCUCAGGAAAAUGCCUUUCUAAACAGCUGACAGAUAUGCUGACACUUGUCUGAAAUUAGGGAGCAGGUAAUGCAGGUAUGCAGGAGUGGGGAGAGUGUUCUAGUAUAGGGGCCAGCAGGUGCAAGGUCCUGAGAUAUGGUCAUAAUCUUUGUUCCAUGAACAUCAUGAAGGGCUGUGUGAAGAAAGAUAUAAAAGAUGAGGAAGGUAAUAAGCAGAUCAUAUAGUCCCAGUUUAUGAAUUUCCUCUACCACUACCCUUCCAAUAUCCCCUCCCUAACUCACUGAUGAUCAGUUCACUGAUUUUAAAAAUUACUAGUAAUCAUUAAAAAAUUUCAUUUUUUCUACUAGGAAAUCUACCACCCUCCCUGCAUUUUACAGCCACAUAAGUGAGGCUCCCUUCUCUUCCAACUAUUUCUUCUGAUUACUAAGAACUUUUCUCUAGUCAUAAGUACUCAGUGUGCCAUACUAUAUGGUCAAUAUAGAGGAAAGGUGAGAAAUAAUCUUCAGAGAGUGAGGAAGCCAAUUGCCCGAAGUAGAACUUCAACUUAAUGCUGAGUGCUUACUUGAAAUUUAAGGUUAAAUCUGAAGUGAGAUGUAUCUAUGAGAGCAUCUUUCUCUCUUUCUUCAUCGGUUGGUAGGCUCUCUCAUAAAGCAAGUAGAAUUGGGUUUAACCAGUGUGGGGGCCUUGCCAGGCAGGGAUGAUGAAAGGAAGCAGCACAGGAUGUGGAGAUAUUUAUAAGGAGGUGAGUAUCCUUAUAGACUGUGAAAUCUAAGACGGACUCUGAAGGAAGUGGAGGGUAAUGUGGAAAGUAGAAUGAUGGUAGAGAAGUAAGAGAAUGGAUUUGGAUGUCUUAAGGAGUCUAAAGGGGUGAAUGAAGCUGAAUUAAGUUGUAAGAGGUCAGGGUCAGAAAGAGAGAGAGGCAGGCUCACCUCACGUUCAUUGCAGCAUUACUCACAGUUGCCAAGGUAUGUAAAUGACCUACGUGUCUAAGGACGAAUGGAUAAAGAAAAGAUCCGUGUGUGUAUGUAUAUGCUCCCCCACACACAUUCAGAUAUUAUUCACCCUCAAACAAGAAAGAAGUCUUGUCAUUUUUGACAACAUGGAUGAAUUUGGAGGACAUUAUGCUGAGUGAAAUAAGCCAGACAAAGACUGCAAGUAUCACUUACGUGUGGAAUUUAAAAAUGAAAGUUUAACUCAUAGACACAACAAAGUGGUUGCUGGGUGGGUAGGGAGAAUAGGUGAAGUUUUACACACUUUCAGCUAUAAGAUGAAUAAGGUUUGAAGAUCAAGUAUA
Molecule: long non-coding RNA, 2202 nt
Organism: Neofelis nebulosa (Clouded leopard)
Lineage: Eukaryota; Metazoa; Chordata; Mammalia; Carnivora; Felidae
Exons: 2
Source: RefSeq, a predicted model, not a curated record